Molecule: ribosomal RNA, 380 nt
Filed under: Ischnura fluviatilis
Lineage: Eukaryota; Metazoa; Arthropoda; Insecta; Odonata; Coenagrionidae
Description: partial large subunit ribosomal RNA
Rfam family: Archaeal large subunit ribosomal RNA (bases 1-184)
Source: RNAcentral
GUCCUAUUGUAUUAUUUAAUAGGUCUGGCCUGCCCAGUGAUAAUUUUAACGGCCGCGGUAUAUUGACCGUGCAAAGGUAGCAUAAUCAUUAGUCUUUUAAUAGGAGGCUGGAAUGAAAGGUUUAACGAGAAAUUAACUGUCUCAAUUGCAAUCUUGAAUUUAUCUUUUGAGUCAAAAGACUUAAAUAUAAUUGGUGGACGAGAAGACCCUAUAGAGCUUUACAAUUAUUUUUUUUAUAUUUAUUCAGAGAUAUUAUUUAUUUGUAUUAAAAAAAUUGUUUUGUUGGGGUGACAAUAAAUAUAUAUUUAACUUUUAUCAUAAUAUUAACAUUAAUUUAUGAUUUUUGGAUCCAAAAAUUUUGAUCAUUAGACUAAGUUACC